CUCACCCUGUUGCCCAGGCUGGAAUACAGUGGCACGAUCCUGGCUCACUGCAAUCUCCAUCUCCCGGGUUCAAGCGAUUCUCCUGCCUCAGCCUCUCAAGUAGCUGGGAUUACAGGGCUUCAGAAGCUGAUGGCAUAGUUAUGAGAGGGGUGAAGACUGCGACUGCAUUUCCAACAGACCCUGAGGACAAUUGGGAAGAAUGCGCUGAAUAUUUUUGAGCAAUUUCUAUAUGAUAAGCAGUUUUUAGAUUCAAGAUCUUGCAAAAUCUGAGAUCUGCUCAACUCUCAACUCUUCUUUCCAAAUGAAUGCUUCCUAUCUGCCAGAACUUGGAUCUACUUUCAUCACUUUCAAGCUAUAUCCCAGAGUUCAUCAAGACUACAUUAAGACAGGAUGGAUACUCUUUCCUCCAGGAAGCCACCUCUGUUUCCCUACCCACUCUACCUGUUAAGCUUAGGAGGAGCAGUGUCAACAGUCCUAGCCAGCUGUUGCUGAAGGGCCCAACACCAAAUCCCAGCUGAAGAACAGCUUCUCAUCUUUUGAGACACAGCACAGGGUGAUGGGCAUGGAGCUCUUCCACACUCCCCACAGUCUGACUUAGCUCUCUCCGUUGUGCCCUCCUGGCACCCUGCUCGUAUUUUAUUGUGGCACCUAUAUCGCUGGAUCUCACUCACUGGUUUGCACUCCUGUAUCCCCUUUGAGGGAACAAAUCCCAUGCCUCUGCAAUCCCAGGAUCUGAUACUGAGAUAGACACUAAACAGAUAUUUAAAAAUUUUUGAUAAUCAAUGAAUGGACAAGGAGAAUAAAUAAUAUGAAAGAUGAAAUAAAGAAAUAAAAGUAUUAAUGAGAGUAUAAACAUAUCCAGAUUGGGCUGGGUGCGAUGGCUCAUGCCUAUAAUCCCAGCACUUUGGGAGGCUGAGGUGGGAGGAUCACUUGAGGUCAAGAGUUCGAGAGCAGCCUGGCCAACAUGGCGAAACCCUGUCUCUGCUAGAGAUACAAAAAUUAGCUGGGUGUGGUGGUGUGUGCUUGUAAUCCCAGCUACUUGGGAGGCUGAGGCAGGAGAAUCACUUGAACCUGGGAGGCGGAAGCUGCAGUGAGCUGAAAUUGCACCAGCCUGGGUGACACAGUGAGACUCUGUCUCAAAACAAAACAAAACAACAACAACAAAAAAAAAAAAAAAAGAAAGAAAGAAAAAAAGAAAUCCAGAUAGACUAUUAUGUCUUACUGUUCUUUUUCAUUCAUACCAAAUGGGAAAGAAUUUCCUGUCAAUGCUGGCAGUCUCUGGCUAUCAUGUGGCAGCAUCCGGGAAGGACCUUUGAGGCCACGCUCUUUCCCUCAGGGGACAGUGAGGUGCGUUGUCCAUGGCACCGAUGGGUUUUUCUCUGGGUAGCAGGAGGUUCCACAAUUCCCCAGCCCCAUUUCCUUUUAAGUCAU
This 1431-nucleotide long non-coding RNA is filed under the name Homo sapiens (human). Its description in RNAcentral is "HSALNT0393566". Lineage: Eukaryota; Metazoa; Chordata; Mammalia; Primates; Hominidae. The record is from RNAcentral.